AGACAGUGAGGAGGUUGGCUUAGAAGCAGCCAUCCUUUAAAAAGUGCGUAACAGCUUACUUAUCAAGGUUGCAAGCCCUGAAGAUGGACGGGGCUAAAUCAGUUACCGAUACUUUGGAUUUUGAAAAAAAUGGUAGGCAGGCGUUCUACUAGGACAGAAGCUGUUCUGUGAAGAACAGUGGACCUGGUAGGAAUGAAAAUCCUGGCGGUAGUAGGAUCAAAGCAGUGUGAGAAUCACUGUCACCGAAAGGGCAAGGGUUCCUUGACAAUACAGAUUAGUCAAGGGUUAGUUAAUCCUAACUCAACUCAUAAUUCGUAGUUGGGGAAAGGGAAACAGGUUAAUAUUCCUGUACUAUUUGUGUAUGCGUGGCAACACAAGCCUGAUUUUUGACGGUUCGGGCUAGGCUGACAUACUUUGUCUAGUGUGUUAAUAAGAGUAAAUCAAGGGAGUGCUGUAAUGGCGAGAAUUUGAUUAAAUCUUAGAAUAGUAGUUCGUAUGAAUUAUUCAGCUGAUGCCUGGAUUCACUGAAAAGAGAAUCAGGAAAGAUCACAAAUAUUUAUACCCAGAACCGGCACAGGUGCCCCUAGGUGAGAAACCUAAGGUGUGAAGGUGUAAUCUAGUUAAGGGAAUUCGGCAAAUUGGCCCCGUAGCUUCGGUUUAAGGGGUCCCUGCGCUUGUAUCUGUAUAGAUGCGACUGCAGGGUGCAAUUACCAAGAUGGUUCGACUGUUUAACAAAAACUUAACUAACUGCAAAGCCGUGAGGCCUAGUAUAGUUGGUGAUGUCUGCCCAGUGUCAGUACUUUAAACUCCUGUUCAAGGGAGCGAAGAGCUGGUAAACGGCGGGGGUAACUAUAACUCUCUUAAGGUAGCGUAAUACCUUGCCGAUUAAAUGUCGGCUUGCAUGAAUGGCAUAACGAAAUCGUCACUGUCCCUAACUAGAAUCCUCCGAACACUCUUUACUGGUGCAAAGGCCAGUGAUCUUCAGUGGGAAGUGAAGACCCCGUGAAACUUUACUGUAGCCUGUGGUUGCGGUGUGAGUUUUGUUGUAUAGCGUAAGUGGGAGUCGUUAAAACUUGAUCGCAAGAUUAAGCGUAGACGUCCAUGUAACACCACUCUUCAGAAUUUACAUUGCUUACUCGCAUUGCGAGGACACCUAUUGGUGGACAGUUUGGCUGGGGUGGCACUCUGCUGAAAAGAUAUCAGCAGAGCCCAAAGGUUGACUCAACCGGGUCAGAAAUCCGGUGUAGAGUGCAAAGGCAAAAGUCAGCCUGAUUGGAAUCCCAAUAAGACGGAUUCCAAGAGCGAAAGCUUGGCUUAGCGAACCCCUGUACCUCCUUGAUGGGGGUCAGGGAUGACCGAAAAGUUACUCCGGGGAUAACAGAGUUGUCGCGCCCGAGAGCUCAAAUCGACGGCGCGGCUUGCUACAUCGAUGUCGGCUCUUCCUAACCUGGACGUGCAGAAGCGUCCAAGGGUGGGGGUGUUCACCCAUUAAAAGGGAUCGUGAGCUGGGUUCAGAACGUUGUGAGACAGUUUGUUUAAUAUCUACUGAAGAUGUUUGGUGUCUGAUAGGAAGGAAGCGAUAGUACGAGAGGAACUUGCUUUCGGAGCCUCUGGUGUAUCAGUUGUCUGACAAGGCAUGCUGAGCAGCUACGCUCUAAGGGAUAAGUGCUGAAAGCAUCUAAGCACGAAGCCUGCCCAGAAAAGAGACACUAGGAUACUCGCAAAACACGAGUUUGAUAGGGUUGUGGUGUAAGUAC
This 1757-nucleotide ribosomal RNA is filed under the name Candidatus Brocadiales bacterium. RNAcentral's name for it is "partial 23S ribosomal RNA". It matches the Rfam family "Archaeal large subunit ribosomal RNA", at positions 1173 to 2931 of the family's 2987-position model. Lineage: Bacteria; Pseudomonadati; Planctomycetota; Candidatus Brocadiia; Candidatus Brocadiales. The record is from RNAcentral.